This 182-nucleotide ribosomal RNA is filed under the name uncultured soil bacterium. RNAcentral's name for it is "partial 16S ribosomal RNA". It matches the Rfam family "Bacterial small subunit ribosomal RNA", at positions 26 to 203 of the family's 1533-position model. The record is from RNAcentral.
AGAAUCAACGCUGGCGGCGUGCCUCAGACAUGCAAGUCGAACGCGAAAGUCCCCUUCGGGGGACAAGUAGAGUGGCGCACGGGUGAGUAACACGUAGGUAAUCUACCUUUGGAUGGGGAAUAACAACCGGAAACGGUUGUUAAUACCGCAUGAUGCAGCGGCACCUAAUGGUGACGUAGUUA